UACGUAGGUGGCAAGCGUUGUCCGGAUUUAUUGGGCGUAAAGGGAGCGCAGGUGGUUUCUUAAGUCUGAUGUGAAAGCCCACGGCUUAACCGUGGAGGGUCAUUGGAAACUGGGAAACUUGAGUACAGAAGAGGAAUGUGGAACUCCAUGUGUAGCGGUGGAAUGCGUAGAUAUAUGGAAGAACACCAGUGGCGAAGGCGACAUUCUGGUCUGUUACUGACACUGAGGCUCGAAAGCGUGGGGAGCAAACAGGAUUAGAUACCCUGGUAGUCCACGCCGUAAACGAUGAGUGCUAGGUGUUGGAGGGUUUCCGCCCUUCAGUGCCGCAGUUAACGCAUUAAGCACUCCGCCUGGGGAGUACGUACGCAAGUAUGAAACUC
Molecule: ribosomal RNA, 380 nt
Filed under: uncultured Pediococcus sp.
Lineage: Bacteria; Bacillati; Bacillota; Bacilli; Lactobacillales; Lactobacillaceae
Description: bacterial SSU rRNA
Rfam family: Bacterial small subunit ribosomal RNA
Source: RNAcentral